RNAcentral lists this ribosomal RNA (489 nucleotides) under uncultured bacterium. RNAcentral's name for it is "partial 16S ribosomal RNA". It matches the Rfam family "Bacterial small subunit ribosomal RNA", at positions 30 to 507 of the family's 1533-position model. The record is from RNAcentral.
UUGCACGCCGGCGGCAGGCCUAACACAUGCAAGUCGAACGGUAACAGGAAGAAGCUUGCUUCUUUGCUGACGAGUGGCGGACGGGUGAGUAAUGUCUGGGAAACUGCCUGAUGGAGGGGGAUAACUACUGGAAACGGUAGCUAAUACCGCAUAACGUCGCAAGACCAAAGAGGGGGACCUUCGGGCCUCUUGCCAUCGGAUGUGCCCAGAUGGGAUUAGCUAGUAGGUGGGGUAACGGCUCACCUAGGCGACGAUCCCUAGCUGGUCUGAGAGGAUGACCAGCCACACUGGAACUGAGACACGGUCCAGACUCCUACGGGAGGCAGCAGUGGGGAAUAUUGCACAAUGGGCGCAAGCCUGAUGCAGCCAUGCCGCGUGUAUGAAGAAGGCCUUCGGGUUGUAAAGUACUUUCAGCGGGGAGGAAGGGAGUAAAGUUAAUACCUUUGCUCAUUGACGUUACCCGCAGAAGAAGCACCGGCUAACUCCGUG